Molecule: long non-coding RNA, 2522 nt
Organism: Cyprinus carpio carpio
Lineage: Eukaryota; Metazoa; Chordata; Actinopteri; Cypriniformes; Cyprinidae
Source: Ensembl
CUUUUAUUCAUCAAAUAUAUUAGACAGCAGAACUGUUUCCAACACUCAUAAUAAAUCAGAAUAUUAGAAUGAUUUCUAAAUGAUCAUGUGAUAGACUGGAUGUUACAUGUGACACUGAAGGCUGGAGUAAUGAUGCUGAAAAUUCAGCUUUGCAUCACAGGAAUAAAUUAUUUUUUUAAAGUAUAUUCAAAUAGAAAACUAUUAUUUUAAGUUGUAAUAAUUUUUCACAAUAUUACUGUUUUUUCUGUAUUUUUGAUCAAAUAAAUGAAGGCUUGAUGAGCAGAAGAGACUUCUUUCAAAAACAUUAAAAAUAGUAAUGUUUCCAAACUUUUGACCUAUUUCUUGCAAAAAAAAAAUCUGUAGUCAGAAUAUAUGGCUAAUUUUAAAUAGCUGUCAAUCAAUCUUCCUUCUUUCCUUCCUUCCUUGGCAAACCUGGCACCAUGCAUUAGUAAACUAAACGAACAACAUUAAAUGCAUCAAACAAUUAACAAAACAUCUAGCCCCUAAGCUCCUACAUGUGCAAAAGCAAGUGAAUGUGUCUGAAGACUUAAAAUGACCAAGUGUACAACUUCUAAUCUCAAGAGGCAGAUUAAUCCAAAAACGAGGAGAAAGUCUGACAUAGGCUAUAUUGAGGAGCUAGGCCAUUCAGAAUCUUAAAAACAAAUAAGAAAACCUUAAACCUCACCCUAUAACAAACUGAGACCAAAGAGGCCUGCGCUGGAAAAACAACCUGUUUUAUAGUCACAUUCAGAAGCCUAGUUUCUGCAUUUUUUUUUUUAUAAUACAUAGCAGUCUUUUAGUUAGUUUUUGAUGGUAAUGCAACUCCGAUCUACCUAAAUGCGUUUAUGUUUGCGCAAAUCAUUUUACUCCAGACUAAGGCAGGUUUUGUUAAUCUCAAGAGUUAAAACUCAAGGAUAUAUCAGUACCCACUGUUCAUGAUUAGGGCUGAACCAUUAAUUGCAUUUGCGAUAGUAUUGCGAUAUGAAAAAACGCGAUUUUUUAAUGGCAGAGGCUGCGAUUACAAUCGGUCACGAGACACGCGAGAGUAAACAGAUGUGUUCGACUGAACUUGAAAAUCGAUCAGUCUAUGACAUCAAAGUACGGUGAGAGAAAGCAUAAGGAGACGUCCGCUUUCUUAUGGUUCUCACAGUACUUUGAUGACACACACCGAUCGGUCUGAUCAGCGCUGCUUCAAGUCGCACACAAGCAGAGGAAGCAUCAAGUUGGCACGCUACAGUGUUGCCAAGCCCGCGGUUUGUAGAACCCCUCCAUAAAACGUGUAUUUUACCCCCUGGAAUAACGGUGGAUCCCCCUCGAAACACGAUUGGGCUAGUUUUGUGAAAACCUGGCAACCCUGGCACGCUACACGCAGAAAUGUUUGAAAGCGUAUAUAAUAAACGUACUUCAAAACGGCUCAUUGAAAUUACUCAAGCAGUAACAGUGUUACGGUGCAUUUCAUUAAUGGAGACUUCGACCUUUAAAAAUAUAUAUGUAAUAAGUUAAUGUAUAUGUUCUUAUUUAUUUAUUUAAAGUCUUUCUGAAGCAGUGGUUCUCAAACUGUGUGGCGCACGGGCCAUCAGCAGAAAAAGAAAAGAAAUAAAACCGUAAACAGCCAAAGGAGUCGGACGUAACUUAGAAUGGGAGAUGGAUCGGUUUGUGAAAGGAAAGAGAAAGCCAUAAAUGAUGUCGCACAGACCCAGGCAGAUCUGGUCAUUCAAAAGCUAAAUGCAGAAAAUAUGACGCGGCAUAUCUUGCUCUCGGCUUCACUCACGGUGUCUUUACCGGGCGCUGCAGGUGUCGCACUACAGUCACGCUAUCUGCGCUUCAAGUUCAUUGCGCGUCUACUCGACGGUGCGGGGUAGAUUAAGGUGCGAGCGUGUUCAAUGCGCUACAGUCUUCUUAAGUAAAUCCUCCUUCGGUUGUUAUAUUUAUUCGUAUUCAUAUUCACGGCCUUCUAUUUAAGUUUUCACCAUUUAUUUUAUUAUAAUUAUGUGUUUUUAUUUAUGUAUUUUUGCGUUCAAAGCUGUAUACUUUUUCCUUUUAUUAUGUGGAAUUUGGAUUAUGUUUUGUGCAACUGUCUUUUUAUUUACAGUUACAUUAUUCUAGAUCAGUUGGAUCCAUGGAUUUUUUUUUUUUUAAGAAUGACGGAAUUCAUUCACGUUUUAAGUGUUAUAAGUGCAUGUUAUCAUUCAAUGUGUACCUGCUGUUGUACUGUGUAUCCUGCUUGUGUGGAGAAAAUCAACAUAAAGUGAGAGGGGGGGAAUUAUUAAAAAGGACAAAACCAAACUGUUUUCAUGUCAUUUCACUGUUUCAUUAUUUAAUGCAUGAUAAAAUAAAGAACAAAAUAAACAAAAAUAAAAAAAAUCUAAUUGUUUUUGUUGUACAUGUCCAUACAUACCACUGUGGUGAUUUUCAUAUUAUUUUACUGUAUCAUUCUUUAAUAAUUGCAUGCCAAAAUCAUGGAAAAUGCCUGCUUUUUCACUAUACAGUCAUAUUUGAAAAUUCAUAAUAAAUCAAAAUCA